AUUGCCCCAGUAGCGGCGAGUGAAGCGGCAAAAGCUCAGAUUUGGAAUCGCUUCGGCGAGUUGUGAAUUGCAGGUUGGCGCCUCUGCGGCGGCGGCGGUCCAAGUCCCUUGGAACAGGGCGCCAUUGAGGGUGAGAGCCCCGUGGGACCGUUUGCCUACGCUCUGAGGCCCUUCUGACGAGUCGAGUUGUUUGGGAAUGCAGCUCUAAGCGGGUGGUAAAUUCCAUCUAAGGCUAAAUACUGGCGAGAGACCGAUAGCGAACAAGUACUGUGAAGGAAAGAUGAAAAGCACUUUGAAAAGAGAGUGAAACAGCACGUGAAAUUGUUGAAAGGGAAAGGGUAUUGCGCCCGACCAUGGAGCGUGCG
Molecule: ribosomal RNA, 365 nt
Filed under: Pichia fermentans
Lineage: Eukaryota; Fungi; Ascomycota; Pichiomycetes; Pichiales; Pichiaceae
Description: partial large subunit ribosomal RNA
Rfam family: Eukaryotic large subunit ribosomal RNA
Source: RNAcentral